This is a long non-coding RNA of Triticum aestivum (bread wheat), 2083 nucleotides long. RefSeq lists it as uncharacterized. The transcript has 4 exons. Lineage: Eukaryota; Viridiplantae; Streptophyta; Magnoliopsida; Poales; Poaceae. The record is from RefSeq and is a predicted model, not a curated record.
GCUUAACAGGCAAGGAGAAGGGCGCUCUGCAUUCAGAUUCCUUUUCCUCUUCCUCGCCCACACGCAACCGUCUGACCUCUCCUCUCUCCCCUGUGCUCUCCGCCGCCGCCGCCGCCGCCCUGCCUCACCCCACCUCCUUCCCUUGGCCGGCGCUCCACCCAUCCGCUCUCCCCAUUUUUGUGCGAAACCCGCGAUGGCGGCGGCUGAUUGAUGUGGGAUUUGGCGGUAGCGACGGGGCCUCAAGCAGGGAUACGAGGAGGAAGGAAGAUGGUUGUAGAUCCAUGAGGAGCACGAGGCGGCGAUCCAUAAUAGAUCCUGGGAUCAGCAUCAUGGCCGCGGAGACAAAGGCCUUCUUCCACUCAAGGCCGACCGCAGCCACGACGUUCCCCCAUGCCUCGGCGAGGUGGGCCAAGCUGGCGCAUACGGCAAAGAGCGGCUGCGGCAGCGGUGGAGUUGCGGGGGCUGGUGGUGGAUAUUGCUGCGAAAUCGACUGGUGGCGCCGCCGUGGAAAGCUUCCAUGCUCUGCAGCCGCACGGCAAGUCUUCCUCCUCCUGCUGCUGCAUCACAAAUUAGUUCAAUAUACUGUGAGUGAGCGAGCAAAGGACUAAUAAUUAUUAGCAGGUUCCUAUUCUUGACAUUCCUGAUGUUGUUUUCUAGAGCAAUGCUAUUGCACGUUAUGGUAUAUAUUGUUACAUAUUUUGAAUCCAAGUCUUACUGAUUUCACACUGCCUAAACUGGCCACUGUUUUCUUUUUUCCUUCAAUUGCUUGCUCAAAGGGUGACAACCUGCUAUGGGGUGGUUCUCUAAUUUCAUAUGCGAGUAAUAUGAGAAGUACUCCCAUCGUCUUAACUCAGCAAGCUUUAGUGCUUAUUUGUUAAUAAUCGUGGGUUCUGCCAUGUCACUAGCGUCCCCUCGUCGUCGACGGCGGCUCAGGUGAUUGAUCUAUAUAUCGCAAUUGAUUAAGCUGGUUUUAGCAUGAGCUUGCAGUAUACAAAAUCUGAUUUUUUUUUUCAUCACGUUCUGUACUAAAUAGGAGGAACUAAGAUGAGCAAUGUAUUUUAGUUCUAAGGAGAUAGAUCAUAAUUGUUGUGUGCUAAUUCUUUGAACGAACUCUUUUUUUAAUCCUUAUGUAGGUUUUAUAUUUUUGGAGAUUUACGUGAUAUGUACCAUGACUUAUGUCCUGUACGGUUGCGGGGAAUGUAUCGAGUAAAUGCAGCAUCCUUGAUGUUUGAAGUUACCGGGGCAUGGACUCUAAUUUGCAACAACAAAGUUCAUACCAUUGUUGUGUGGGUCAGUCAGAUUAUAUAGACAUGCAUGAUCCAUUUUCCGAGACGGGUGGGAUUGCUGGUACUGGAAGCGGGUGAGGAAGACAUGGCUCGGUUUGAAGUGUCACCGCGUACUGUUGGUUGGACCUUUCCUUAAAAAACUCAGCAUUAUCUCCAAUUUGUUUACAAAGUUAUAGGCAAGCCUAAACAUGUGGCGGGUUCAGUUUUUUUCAACUUUGGAGUUCAAUCUGUUCCAGAUUUGGGUCCUCACCGGCUCAUUCGAAAACGACCUCAACAUCAUCGAAGCCAGGAGGCAGGAUAGUGCGGUGCAAGACGGUGCUGGGCGAGGUGGCAAGAGGCGAUGACGACGGAUGAUACAAUGGUCAGUAGAUAAAAGGUAAGUGCCACCGCCGUUUGGUCCCUCUCCUCUCCUCCUUGCUUCUGCUUCUUUCUACAUUCAUGUUUCCUUUGCUUGCCUCGUCCGAUGUUGUUCAUCUCCAUUGCCUAAUGGGGGCCUCUUUGGGGGCUAAUCUAAGAUCAGGCAGCACAGGAGGAGAGACGGCUCUCACGGAUUAGGAUGUUGCACAUCAGGUGAACCAUUUGAUGGGCUGUUCAACAUGCUGAUCUUAUUGAUUUGUUCUUGACAUAUCCUUUGUGCUGCUGUAUUUUUUGAAUUAGUUGGUGGUUUAUAUUAGAAGUACUAACAUUCUGUCACUUUUGAGCCAUUGGUACUAUAUGUAAUUAGUAUGAACUAAAACUGCUGCUUCUGUGUUCAUAUAAGGCUCUUAAUAUCUAUGAUGUCACUAUUUUCCUUUUAA